AUCCCUUUUAACAGGUUACACUUGAUUCUGCUGUGGUGCCUGUGGAAACAAAGUGCAUGAAGUUUGUGCUCAGUUCACUGCAGACUGGCACCCGCCAAGGACCGUACAUGGAUGUCUUCUUAAGUUGUAAACCCUGAGUACAUACUGUUAAAAUAAAAUUGAUAAGCCUUUUGUAAAUACAUUUUCUCCAUCACUGACUUAAAUUAUUAACUGUGGUAAUUAUGUUUGUGUAAUGUAGUAACCAUGUAGUGUUUAAUAUGAUUAUUAAAUAGAUGUUUUAAAGAAACAGCCACAAACCUUAUGCCUUUGGUCCACAAUGGCAGCUUUAAUUUUAGCAUUUCCUCUCCUCCACAUACUUUGUUGCCAGAUGUGUAAAAUUUACAAAAAGAAGCAAUUUAAAUGUAAAAGUUGCACAUAUGUAGAUUACUCAAGAGAAGCUAUUUACAAUAGUUUUUACA
This is a long non-coding RNA of Poecilia latipinna (sailfin molly), 458 nucleotides long. RefSeq lists it as uncharacterized. Lineage: Eukaryota; Metazoa; Chordata; Actinopteri; Cyprinodontiformes; Poeciliidae. The record is from RefSeq and is a predicted model, not a curated record. The transcript has 2 exons.